UCACCUGUUGUAAUGCCCGUCCCUCCUGUGUGCCUCAGCUCCCACCAGGGAUUGCAGCACAGCACCACAUCCCAGCGUUGUGUCUGCAGUGGAACCAGCACGUGAAACCUGCAUGACAGAGGACUUUCUGGAAAACAAGUUCAGCCUUGCUAUCUGCGCCUGGCACGUGAGAAUGAAAACUGGCUUGCUUGGAGCAAAGGCCUCCCUGCAGUCACUGACAGAAUGUUUGGAAACAGCUCUGCAGGACGUCCUGGGAGCAGCGUGACCCAGCUGGGAGUAGCAGCUAGCUGAAAAACUCGCUUCAGAAGCACUCAGCCGUGGCCUGCUGAGGAACUGGAAAGGGUAUUUCAGCAAAUGAAGUAGACACCUCUGGGAAAUUGGGAGAAGUUCUUCAGAGCAGGAACAUACAUUCAAUCUUUAGUUCAUUGCUCCUGGUGGGCAAGCAUCAAAUCAGGCUGAUGUCUGAUCAAAUCCCUGUCAGCUUUUGUUAGCGCUGCUUGAUCCUGCCUCACUCAGAAAGCUUGAAGAAAAGAAAAGCGAUGGGAAAUAAAAAGUUAAUUCAUGCCCUCCUAACUGUGCUGUGAGAGCACUGUAACACCGUGAAAACCACGGCUUUCCUAACAUGAUUCAUCAGAAAUCAGGAGGGAAAAAUAGUUGAGAUCUGAUAUACUGAGUACUCUUAAAUUACAGUGCAGCUUCAAGUAUAGUGUACGAGGAGAUAGAAGCCGAGUGAAUAAGUAUGUCUCAGGCUGUCAUGUCCAUGAACUGGGAAACUCACUGCUCAUUGAAUCAUUUCCUGGUACUUCUGCUCAUCCAUCGAUACAGAGAGCAACCAGACUGGGUUUGCGGAGAUGAAAGCCAGAGUAAUUCAGAGCCAGCUGUAAUUCUUUAUACAGCAUACACCAAGUAUUUUUGUUGACUCCUGCAUGACAUUUCCAAGGUGGCUGGGAAACCAGGCCAUUUGUUACACGGAGCCGAGAUCAAUAGAAAGCACAGAGGAAAACAAGUAAAGCUAACAUCCAGGGGAAAGGACAGCGCAACUUCCAAGUUUGCACAGCUCAGAUGUGCAGCGCACAUCCAUGGGAACAUCCUGUUCUCGGUGCGCGGAGCAGAACAUCCUAUUCGAUUUACUGAAAAAUAUGAAGCACGAGGAAACGCUGCUGCUUUAUGUACGCGGGAUGUCAGCUUGCAGCCGCGCCUCACGCUCGCAUCGCGCACCCUUUCUCUUCCGAGUUUUCCGUGCUGCUGAGGCCUCCCACGAAAUGCAUAUUCCUGAAAUGUUUUGAGUUCUGUGACCCAUCGGAAUUCUCCCUUCCAUGAAUGCUCUCUGUCCCAUCACUGGAAAAUUGCUGCACUGCAUAUAAGAGAUCCGAUCACACAGUGACAUGAUUUUGAUCAGACAGGAUUUAUCAGGGAUAAAAAUCAUUUGCUGUAACGACAGAACUUAAAUAAUCUAAAUUAAAUGUUACAGUACAGGGCCUUGUUGACUUCAGCGGCUUGACUGGAAUUUACAGGGAGUUUGUGCUCACGUUCCAAGGCCUGAUUUGAGAGCCAACUUCUCCAAGAUGUCCCAGUGAAGCUUUAAGGUGUUCUCCAUUAAAAGAAAGAAUAAAAUAAGCUCCAUAGGUCCAUCUGCGUAAGAAUACUCCUGGCUGAGGUUGAAAAGAAUUAAAACAUCACCUGCACUCUAUGUGUAAAGGCUUAACUUUUUGAUAAACAGCAAACUCAUCUACUGCUGCGCUAGCUAUUUUUAACCCACCUUGUGAGUACGCUUUUUUUUAUUGCUUUAUACAGCAUAUCUGAUUCUCUCUAAAGCACAAACUAAAAAAUCUAUCCGGCUGUCAUUUGCUGCAUAGUGCCAUCUAUCAUCAUGCAGCUUGGCAGCUGUAGUGCAUGAGAGCGGGGGGAGCUGAAGCAGGAGGCACAGUCAAGGACUUUCACAUGUAACAAAAAAAAAAAAUCCUUGUCACAAUUAUUUAUGGCUCUUGCUGGGGCACAUAAUAGGACACAUAAAACCUCUGUUUCAGUUUCAAGCACCCUCACAUCCCCGCUCCCUUGUCGAAGUUGGUCGCAGGCAGUUUUGCUUUACACAUACAAUUUCCUGAACAAUGCCGAGCACUUGUGAAGUGACAGUGACAAAUACUGGAGAUGCUGGCUGCGGCUCUGCAGGCUGCUGCGGGAGCAGCGGUGUCAAUAAUGGAGGAAGGCUGCCAAUGAGACCCAAACGCCGCUGUGAUGUUCCACUUGUUCAACCAGCUUGCUGCAACGCUUUUAUUUUGAAGCUGCAGGAAACUUCUGCUGUAAGGAAAUAAAGUGUUAGAGGAACCUGGGCCAGGAAACAAUUCUUCAUUUUUGAUCUUCUCUGGAGUUUGAUUUUGUGAUAACUAAAAUAUGGCUAUUGCAGAGUGGCUUAAUGAAUAUUCACCAGUUCCCCAUUGGCGUUGGCCUUGUGAGGAGUCCUGUUGGUGGUGGCUGUUAUCUCAGCCCUCUGCACGGUCUGUCUGAACUUUGUCGUUUGUGGUGUAACCGUAAGCCUGGGUUCAGGGGCAGAUGAUGGAGUUAUUGGGAGCCCUGUCUGCUCUCUGUCUAGGUGGUGAGCCGUGGAAAGCUGUGCUGCUAAGGAAGCCAAGUUGAGGUGAUUAGGCAUAAAACUCAGUUCCAGACCAAUAGAUUAUCUUGGUUGCAGUUUCUGGAGAGUGUAGGUAGAUACUAACCUUCAUGUCCCUGUUAGAGUCAUCUGAUAUUUCCCAUACCCCCUAAUGUUUCUGGUCUCCAAUGUUAACGAGCUGAAUUAGCAGCAGAGAUGCUGGGAUGUAUUUGUUGCUGUGGAGCAAAUCAGUUUUGAAGGUAUGAUCCACAAAAACACUGGGACUGCAGAUGGAACAGAAGCAACUG
Lagopus muta (rock ptarmigan) is the source of this 2895-nucleotide long non-coding RNA. RefSeq lists it as uncharacterized. The transcript has 4 exons. The record is from RefSeq and is a predicted model, not a curated record. NCBI's taxonomy places the organism in Eukaryota, Metazoa, Chordata, Aves, Galliformes, Phasianidae.